GCAUCCUGAAAAAUCAUACUAGGGCUUAUUUUCAGGGGAUCUUAUUUUUGGGGAAACAGGGUACCAGAUGCAACCCCUCUGUUAUGGCUUGCCAGAUCCUUGAAAGGGCUAGCAGUACAGGCAGGGUGUUUAUCAAGCUCUGAAGAGGCUGUAUUUUGCUCGCUCUGUCACAGGUUGUACAAGCCUGAUGUUUUCCUUUCAGCACAUACAAUGGCAUCCACACUCUCUUGGGGGGGAAAAUGUCAGUAGUGUUCCUUAGCUUGGUGCAGCUUUUUUAAAAAAAUAAAUUAAAUUUAAAUUCAGCCUUUUCUAGGGAGGUGGAGAUAAUUUUAGCUGGGAUGGGCAACUUUCAGAGGUUUAGGGGUUGCAGAUACCUAUCUCUGGACAUUGGAAGACCACUCUCCUUUCUGUUACACAGAUCUCAGUCCCCAACAUAUUUUCUUACAAAAUGCUGUUUUAAAAUGAAAAGUCCCCUUGCAUUGUUUGGUGGUCAAAUAGAAGGUUAAAUUGCACUUCACACCUCGUAGAAGACACAAUCAGCUUUUUGAGCCUUUUUUUGGCCUGAAGUGGGUGGAUCCUUGGGCAUUGGAGAGUGCGGGGGGGGGGUCUUCCAUUUUAGAUCCUACACUUACAGGCUUUAUGGUGCCACUAUAGUUAGACCAAGAGGAAGCAACAUAAUGGGCUAGAGGCCAGUUUUCUGCACUGGGUACCGUCUGGAGGUGGCAGAAGUUGCAGAAAGUGAUAGAUGAAACUGCAAAUGACUAGAUGUCCACCUUCAGUUUUGGCAAAAAAAAA
Molecule: non-coding RNA, 795 nt
Organism: Pogona vitticeps (central bearded dragon)
Lineage: Eukaryota; Metazoa; Chordata; Lepidosauria; Squamata; Agamidae
Source: RefSeq, a predicted model, not a curated record